GACGAACGCUGGCGGCGUGCCUAAUACAUGCAAGUAGAACGCACAGUUUAUACCGUAGCUUGCUACACCAUAGACUGUGAGUUGCGAACGGGUGAGUAACGCGUAGGUAACCUGCCUGGUAGCGGGGGAUAACUAUUGGAAACGAUAGCUAAUACCGCAUAAUAUUAAUUAUUGCAUGAUAAUUAAUUGAAAGGUGCAAUUGCACCACUACCAGAUGGACCUGCGUUGUAUUAGCUAGUAGGUGAGGUAACGGCUCACCUAGGCGACGAUACAUAGCCGACCUGAGAGGGUGAUCGGCCACCCUGGGACGGAGACACGGCCCAGACUCCUGCGGGAGGCAGCAGUAGGGAAUCUUCGGCAAUGGACGAAAGGCUGACCGGGCAACGCCGCGUGAGUGAAGAAGGUUUUCGGAUCGUAAAGCUCUGUUGUAAGAGAAGAACUGUGUGAGAGUGGAAAGUUCACACUAUGACGGUAGCUUAACAGAAAGGGACGGCUAACUACGUG
RNAcentral lists this ribosomal RNA (504 nucleotides) under uncultured bacterium. RNAcentral describes it as "partial 16S ribosomal RNA". It matches the Rfam family "Bacterial small subunit ribosomal RNA", at positions 28 to 507 of the family's 1533-position model. The record is from RNAcentral.